CCAUGCUUCCGGAUCUGCAACGAUGAUGCCCAAAUCAUUGAUCGAAUCUGCAAUUGAUUGAAAUCAACCUUUCAAAAUGAACCAAACGAACACCGCAACAAGACGGACAAACAAACGCCGUAACAAUGACGACCACCAACAAAGCGCCGCACUCAGACGACGAAAUCACAAAACAAGAAAAACAAAACUAAAAAACUUAAUUUAUGUGAAAUCACUUAUUUAAAUGGAAAGAAAAUAAAAAACAACUUAGAGGGGUGAUUUUGGGUCAAAAAUUGACCCAAAAACCACCCCUCCUUGGUGGAUGAUGAAGAAGAAAAGCAAAAUAGGGUUAGAAGAGAGGGGGAGCGGCGGCUGUU
RNAcentral lists this long non-coding RNA (356 nucleotides) under Trifolium pratense (red clover). RNAcentral's name for it is "long non-coding RNA (TPRA_LNC010329)". The record is from RNAcentral. Lineage: Eukaryota; Viridiplantae; Streptophyta; Magnoliopsida; Fabales; Fabaceae.